CAGCAGCCGCGGUAAUACAGAGGGUGCGAGCGUUAAUCGGAUUUACUGGGCGUAAAGCGUGCGUAGGCGGCUAAUUGAGUCGGAUGUGAAAUCCCCGAGCUUAACUUGGGAAUUGCAUUCGAUACUGGUUAGCUAGAGUGUGGGAGAGGAUGGUAGAAUUCCAGGUGUAGCGGUGAAAUGCGUAGAGAUCUGGAGGAAUACCGAAGGCGAAGGCAGCCAUCUGGCCUAACACUGACGCUGAGGUACGAAAGCAUGGGGAGCAAACAGGAUUAGAUACCCGCGUAGUCCCUGUCUCUUAUAC
RNAcentral lists this ribosomal RNA (301 nucleotides) under uncultured bacterium. Its description in RNAcentral is "partial 16S ribosomal RNA". It matches the Rfam family "Bacterial small subunit ribosomal RNA", at positions 509 to 807 of the family's 1533-position model. The record is from RNAcentral.